AUCUCGGUAUGAGAAUCACGAUUUUUUCGCCUGCGCGCGAGCUGUGUGAAGCAUCCUGCUUCUUUGUUUUGGCACCUCUUUUAUCUGAGCAAUAAUAUUAACGUCGCAGAAGACAUGAGUUAAUCGUGUCAUAUAAAGCGGAACCUCCGAGAACAAGCAAUGUGAUAGUGAUAAGAGUUGCGAUUUUGUUUGUUCUAGCGAUCUGUCGCAGUUUCAGUUUCACCUGGUCAACGACACACACAUUCACUGAAAAAGUGACGGCAAUCUGAAGGUCAGAACUGAAGUUGUAGGUCACCAAACAAAAGCCCUGCCAGCUAGAAAUUCGCACCGAAACAGUGUGUUGACAACUUUAGUUUUGAUAAGCCAGCUUGAAGCUAACAAUUAUCACUCGUCGGCAGUCAGGUUGCCGUAUCAUAAUGCUGUCUAUUAUACUACAUCCUUGAUAAUACUUAAGUAAUCUAUAAAAUGGGCGUCAAACAGUCUCGGCAUUCUCAGGACUUGAUUAACACAAGGUUUGCCUACUUUUAUUCUUUUUGAUGCUCCUUUUUUAUGGUUCUUUAAUGACAGUAUGUUACCCUAAGGCUCAAUUGUGAAUUGUCGAAUAAUCAUGAACAUUGAACAUUCACACAAGUGUAGAUUAAUAAGUUGAUGUAAUUUUACACUGCCAUAGAAGAUCCACCAUCUUGAUUCUCCUGUUUACUCUACAUGUACAAGUGAGGAGCUUGUAAACUUAUUAAACUUUGACUCUACUCUCUGAAAAAAACUCUCAGUGUCCAAAUAGUUCCUGAAUUGAUGCUAUGAUUCUGGAACUAGUGUUGGCCACUAAGCUGAUCUCGGUCUCGUUUUAAAGCUUACUUUGCUCCUGGGGGCUGAUUAUUGAAAUUAAUAGACAAAAAAGACACAAAGGAAGUGGAGCAAUCCUGUUGGUAGAAGGGAAGUGUUGCAACGGACAAAAAAGGCAAAUACUAGACUAACUAAUGGCAAUCCACCAGGAACCUCAUAAGUUGGUCCAUUAUUUUCCACCUUGGUCCUUAACAACCACCUGUUGCAACAAUUAGGAUUGCUCUAUUUUCCCUUGUCCUGUUUAUCUAUUGCUGUAUCUAUCAAUUUUAGCCUGCUAAUAGAUCGGAACCAAAAUUAUCUAACUUU
RNAcentral lists this long non-coding RNA (1149 nucleotides) under Bemisia tabaci. Its description in RNAcentral is "lncRNA ENSASIAIIG012650". Lineage: Eukaryota; Metazoa; Arthropoda; Insecta; Hemiptera; Aleyrodidae. The record is from RNAcentral.